This is a long non-coding RNA of Neofelis nebulosa (Clouded leopard), 1079 nucleotides long. RefSeq lists it as uncharacterized. Lineage: Eukaryota; Metazoa; Chordata; Mammalia; Carnivora; Felidae. The transcript has 2 exons. The record is from RefSeq and is a predicted model, not a curated record.
UGACUUGAUAGGCGCAAGGGCCUGGGGGCAAGGUUGUCUGCAAGGACGGCCUCCGCGCUACGUGGGGAGUGGGGCUGGGGCGCGCAGAACGCCUGCACUUGUGGACUCUGGAGGCGUGUCGCUCCACGACCUGCCCCUGGGCAAGAUGCGGCGUCACUCCUUAAGAACGCUGAGCCACGAGCGCUGGUGCUCUCCAAAGCAGAAGGGUUCCGAGGCGCAGGUGCUGACUUUGGAACGCCGACCAACCCGAAGAUGUGAUUGGACAGAUCUGUCAACAUUCAUAGCGAGAACCAUUCCCUAAGAUUGGUUGAACGCCUGUCAGACCUUGUAGUGGCUGCUCAGGGCCUCCUGCCUUUUAAUUCUCCAAGUACACCUAAGCUUUAGGCAUUAUACCAGGCAUGCACUCACAGGAAGCCUGGUCAAUGGAGGGUCCAGGAAAGAAUGAGAGAUCCUGGAGAACAGAAGUGCUGCAGGGUUAGCAGUAGGGGGGAGGAGGAGAACAUAAAGGAUGGGUGGCUUUUCUCGUGGAAGUGCUAGAGGUAGAGGGGGAAAGUAGGAUCUGUGGAAUGGUGAUGGCGAGGAAAGAUUCUUGCUCAGUGUUUUGUUGUGAAAAGAACUAAUCAGUGUGUUUUAGAGCCCAAUUUAUCUUUCAUCCCCUAGAGCCUAUAGGUUUGGAUGGUUCAGAAUUCCCUUAGGUAGUUCUAUCUCCCUGCUACUGAAAUAGAACUGCACGACAGCAAGAGAAUGGUUAUCUUUGCCUCUAAGCCCUCUAAGCACAAAAGAAGCAGUGAGAUUAGGCGAUGGUAGUAUGGUGGGUUUGUAUCUUGGCUUCCUCUCCCUAGCUCGGUGAUUUGGGAGGGGGUAUUUUCCUUCUUGUGCCCUUCCUCUUACUGAUGCUAUGAAGACUAAAUGGAAAGCCCUUAGAAGAUUGUAUGGCACCUAAGUACUAGAAACUCAAUAAAGGUUGCUAGUUAUUCAUGGAUAAAGAUGUCAGAUACUGUGAAACCGUGGAACCACAGCGGUGGAUACACAUGCCAUCCCACAUUUGUCUAAACCCAUAGAACGUGUCACACCAAGAA